This 468-nucleotide ribosomal RNA is filed under the name uncultured bacterium. RNAcentral's name for it is "partial 16S ribosomal RNA". It matches the Rfam family "Bacterial small subunit ribosomal RNA", at positions 28 to 507 of the family's 1533-position model. The record is from RNAcentral.
GACGAACGCUGGCGGCGUGCUUAACACAUGCAAGUCGAACGGAAAGGCCCUGCUUUUGUGGGGUGCUCGAGUGGCGAACGGGUGAGUAACACGUGAGUAACCUGCCCUUGACUUUGGGAUAACUUCAGGAAACUGGGGCUAAUACCGGAUAGGAGCUCCUGCUGCAUGGUGGGGGUUGGAAAGUUUCGGCGGUUGGGGAUGGACUCGCGGCUUAUCAGCUUGUUGGUGGGGUAGUGGCUUACCAAGGCUUUGACGGGUAGCCGGCCUGGGAGGGUGACCGGCCACAUUGGGACUGGGAUACGGACCAGACUCCUACGGGAGGCAGCAGUGGGGAAUAUUGCACAAUGGGCGGAAGCCUGAUGCAGCAACGCCGCGUGCGGGAUGACGGCCUUCGGGUUGUAAACCGCUUUCGCCUGUGACGAAGCGUGAGUGACGGUAAUGGGUAAAGAAGCACCGGCUAACUACGUG